CCGGGGUAGCCUAGUGGACAUGGCAUCUGCCCGGUAAGCGGAACACUGUGGGUUCGAUUCCCAUCCCCCUGGA
RNAcentral lists this transfer RNA (73 nucleotides) under Cordylochernes scorpioides. Its description in RNAcentral is "tRNA-Thr". It matches the Rfam family "tRNA". Rfam says of the family: Transfer RNA (tRNA) molecules are approximately 80 nucleotides in length. Their secondary structure includes four short double-helical elements and three loops (D, anti-codon, and T loops). Lineage: Eukaryota; Metazoa; Arthropoda; Arachnida; Pseudoscorpiones; Chernetidae. The record is from RNAcentral.